GCUUCCUUAGCUCAGUUGGGAGAGCAGCUCACUUGUAAUGAGCAGGUCGUCCGUUCGAAUCGGACAGGGAGCACCA
RNAcentral lists this transfer RNA (76 nucleotides) under Vibrio phage VPT02. Its description in RNAcentral is "tRNA-Thr". It matches the Rfam family "tRNA". From Rfam's summary of the family: Transfer RNA (tRNA) molecules are approximately 80 nucleotides in length. Their secondary structure includes four short double-helical elements and three loops (D, anti-codon, and T loops). Further hydrogen bonds mediate the characteristic L-shaped molecular structure. tRNAs have two regions of fundamental functional importance: the anti-codon, which is responsible for specific mRNA codon recognition, and the 3' end, to which the tRNAs corresponding amino acid is attached (by aminoacyl-tRNA synthetases). tRNAs cope with the degeneracy of the genetic code in two manners: having more than one tRNA (with a specific anti-codon) for a particular amino acid; and 'wobble' base-pairing, i.e. permitting non-standard base-pairing at the 3rd anti-codon position. Lineage: Duplodnaviria; Heunggongvirae; Uroviricota; Caudoviricetes; Demerecviridae. RNAcentral also lists the same sequence under 1 other name. The record is from RNAcentral.